GCAAGUCGAACGGUAACAUGUCUAGCUUGCUAGAUGAUGACGAGUGGCGGACGGGUGCGUAAUGCUUGGGAAUUUGCCUUUGCGCGGGGGAUAACAGUUGGAAACGACUGCUAAUACCGCAUAAUACCUACGGGUCAAAGGGGGGAGUUUACUCCUCUCACGCGAAGAGAAGCCCAAGUGAGAUUAGCUAGUUGGUGGGGUAAAGGCUCACCAAGGCGACGAUCAGUAUCUGGUUUGAGAGGACGAUC
RNAcentral lists this ribosomal RNA (248 nucleotides) under uncultured bacterium. RNAcentral describes it as "partial 16S ribosomal RNA". It matches the Rfam family "Bacterial small subunit ribosomal RNA", at positions 57 to 305 of the family's 1533-position model. The record is from RNAcentral.